Molecule: long non-coding RNA, 1462 nt
Organism: Hippocampus zosterae (dwarf seahorse)
Lineage: Eukaryota; Metazoa; Chordata; Actinopteri; Syngnathiformes; Syngnathidae
Exons: 2
Source: RefSeq, a predicted model, not a curated record
UGGGUUGGAGUUUGGGAAACAUCUAAAUAUGGCUGGAUUGGGACUCCUGAGGACCGGACUUGGGAACCCCUGGUGUAAAUUGUCCCAGUACUCCAAACUGCUCUGUCAUCCCGCCCACUUUGAGCCCUUAUUCCACACUUCUGCUGAACCUACAUUGAUGCUAACUCAAGCCAAAGCAUAUUACCCACAAAUCCCUGCUGAUUUGACUAAAAAAUAACGGGAAAAUUGCGACAUUUGGUGGAAUUCCUUUGCCUGUGCUGAAAGAGUCUUUUCAAGUGAGACAAUGGGCAGAUUCAACACAUGCUAUACCUGCAGCGCCCGCCCUCAUCCUCCUCACCUCAUGUCGACGACGACUCCCCAUUGGCUGGCUGGCUGCAGGAGUGGGAGGAGACUAAUCUCACGCCACUGCAUCAUCAACGUGGCCCGGGAGUGUCUACAAAGAUGAAACGGUUGAAGGUGGGGAUGUCAGCUUCCUAACAAUGGUACCAAUUGUUCUUAUGAGAAACUCACAAUAAAUGUCUGCUUGAGAACCAAUCAAGCUCUCUCAACUGAACUGGGGAGUAAAUAUGCUGUUUAUUAACAAUUUAUCAACAGUUUAUUAGCAUAUGGUCAUAAUAUACCGUAUCAGCGGCAGGUGGUGAACGUUAUUUCUACAAUGGUUCCCAAGAGAUGCUUUUAAUGGAAUGAUUCUCAUAAUGUGGCUGCUUGCGGCAUACAGUUCAGUUGUAUUUAACUUUUUUAAUACAAUAAAUACAACCAUAUGUUGUCUUUUAGAAUAUAUAUUUUUUAAUCUUUAUGUGCAACAUUUUAUACUUUCAUCGUUAUUCAAUUGCCUUUUUUUUUCUUAUAGUUAGGCGAAGCCUUUAUAUUCAUGCUUCAUUUUGUUACAGUGGCUUACAAAAAUAACAAAUAUACCUUUUAGGGAUAAAAGCUCCAAUUGUGAAGCAAUGGUGCAGAAAGAGGUGUUAUGGGCUAGUAUCGGUUUCACAAUGAUGCACCAGACUAACUUUGCUUGUCUCACCUUGGCUGCUUUCAACAAUGCAUUCUUUGACUAAAUCGACUUCAACUAAUCUCUUCCGCUUCACACCUACUCUGUUUGUCCUUGGACAACAUUCCUGUUCUCUUUUAAUUUUUUUUUUUAUUGUUCUUGUGUUUUGAUUUUGACAGAUCAUUUAAGAGCAGCUUCUUGGCAGCAGCCACACCAAACAAAUAAAAUAAAACACCUAACUGGUUUAAUUUUUAAAAAAAAGAUAAUAUAGCUUUUGCUUGAAAAGGCAAAAGUAGAGUUUUAAGAUUCGUAAAAGGCACCACAUUCCCAAUUUAAAAUCAAGUCAAAUGAAAUAAAAUUCCGAAUUGUUGGUUCAUUUAUGAAAAGCAAAAGAUGAAUCAUGUUUUGCAUUUUUGCUAACAAAUAUUCUGUCCCGGCCAAUUCUGUAAAAUAAAGGUGAAAAUGAAAAAACAA